AGGGCGGUGAUGAUUCCAACAUGCCAUCUGAGUGCCCAUGCUGAAACCCAGAGGCUGUUUCUGAGCUG
RNAcentral lists this small nucleolar RNA (68 nucleotides) under Sus scrofa (pig). RNAcentral's name for it is "Small nucleolar RNA SNORD95". It matches the Rfam family "Small nucleolar RNA SNORD95". From Rfam's summary of the family: snoRNA U95 (also referred to as Z38 ) is a member of the C/D class of snoRNA which contain the C (UGAUGA) and D (CUGA) box motifs. The record is from Rfam by way of RNAcentral. Lineage: Eukaryota; Metazoa; Chordata; Mammalia; Artiodactyla; Suidae.